GGAGACGUACCGAAGUGGCCAUAACGGGACUGACUCGAAAUCAGUUUGUCGGGUUACCGGCACGUGGGUUCGAAUCCCACCGUCUCCG
RNAcentral lists this transfer RNA (88 nucleotides) under Lachnospiraceae bacterium. RNAcentral's name for it is "tRNA-Ser". It matches the Rfam family "tRNA". From Rfam's summary of the family: Transfer RNA (tRNA) molecules are approximately 80 nucleotides in length. Their secondary structure includes four short double-helical elements and three loops (D, anti-codon, and T loops). Further hydrogen bonds mediate the characteristic L-shaped molecular structure. tRNAs have two regions of fundamental functional importance: the anti-codon, which is responsible for specific mRNA codon recognition, and the 3' end, to which the tRNAs corresponding amino acid is attached (by aminoacyl-tRNA synthetases). tRNAs cope with the degeneracy of the genetic code in two manners: having more than one tRNA (with a specific anti-codon) for a particular amino acid; and 'wobble' base-pairing, i.e. permitting non-standard base-pairing at the 3rd anti-codon position. Lineage: Bacteria; Bacillati; Bacillota; Clostridia; Lachnospirales; Lachnospiraceae. The record is from RNAcentral. RNAcentral also lists the same sequence under 1 other name.